CUCGCUCCUGCUCUCUCUCUCUCUCCUGCUCUCUCUCUCUCUCCUGCUCUCUCUCGCUCCUGCUCUCUCUCUUUCUAUGCUGUAGCCAACUCAGAUUCCUCUCUCUUUAUGGCUCUCUUUCCCCUUCUCUUUGGGGAAACCUCCACAAAGGACAAGUUAUUGUGCCUGACCAGUUUUUACAAUUUUAAAUCAUUUUCUUUUCUUAAAAAAAAGAGGACAAAAAACUCUAGUGCCGCAAAAUGUUUUAAUAUUUUUGUACCACAUAUUGUGUUGAUACGUAUUUAUAAGCUAUAAAGAAAAGAAUCAUUGUAAAUGUAUCCAUUAAAUUCUUGCAGUACUUUCUUUCAUUCCAUCUUUUAGUAUAUGGCUCAAUCUAUUUUUCUACAAUGUUUCAGUCAGUCCAAAUGUAUGGAGACAAUCUUAAUCAGUCAAAACAAAGAACAUAGCCUUGUCUUCAUAUUCAAUGCUACAGUAGGUAUGUGUUUGUCACUGUUCACAGAUCAGUCUGCCUGUCUGUAGGUCAAUCAUAUGAAGUGACUGGUCUGAAUCUGUACAAUCUGAAGCAGUUUACCUUUCAACUAAUGUGAACAAAUUCUGCCUUGCCUGAGUCAAUGCAGGAAUGAGGGGUCCCAAGGGACAUCUCAUUGGACGGCCUGUCUGCAUGUUAUAACCCUCAGCCACCGACUGAAGUGUCACAAAUCCUUUUGUCUGCUUUUUGUGCUGUCUUGCAUCUGUUUUGCAUCUGUCUGUUUCCAGGCAUUUACAAGUAUCUGUCAGGGGAAAGGGAUUGGGUUGUUGUUCCUCUUGUCCAAUCAGAUCUUUGGGACACCAGCAUGACGUGGAUGAUGAUGAUAUUGUGUUAACUGGAUUCAUCCUACUCUCAGCCUUCACACAUACCUCUGAGUCUGUCUCCUGUUGUCCAAUGGGCUAGCUAAUAUCCCAUGGAAACUGGAAAGAAAUAUGACAGGGUCUCAUUUCCUUCAAAUGGUUCUGCCCCGCCCCCCCAGUGUUGUCUGUCUAUAUGUUACCAAGACUACAAUUCUUGUCUGUUCCUCAUCUGAUUCAACCAGCAUCAUUGGGAAAUGUUCUCAUUCUCUCGCUGCACUUUACAGUUCUUCUGAUAGUUGUCGGUACAGAAAACAUGAUACAUGCAGCUCAAAUAAUUAGAGGUGUGUGUGUGCUUCUGUGUGUGCGUGUGUGUCUGUGUGUAAAUGAAUGAUUCAACGAGAGACACCGUGAAUGACUUGAGGUCAGUGCUGGUUAAUACAUCUGGAUAUAAUGUGGCAGGGUGGUUCUAGGACGUCACGUGCCAUAGGUCAAAGGUUACUAAUGUAAGAAGACUUGUUAGUCUGUCUCAGCCUGUUACUUUGGUAACAAUACGAGGACAUCGGUACUCUUGGCUAAAUCAGUGGUUUCUGAUGUUAGUUUUUACAAAAUGGCUGUUGACUUGAAGCCUGGUGAGAGAAGGCACUGUUGUGGGUUUAUCUGAGGCCUGGUGAGAGGUUCUGUUGAGGUUCCAUGUGAGGCCUGGUGAGAGGUUCUGUUGAGGUUCCAUGUGAGGCCUGGUGAAAGGAAGAUUUUGGUUAGAAGGUUUGAGGAAGUUGUUGACUGACCACCAGAUGUUUUUGUCGUUGAAAACACUAAAAGCUGCAUCCUAAAUGGAGCCUUGUUCCCUUCACAGUUCACUGUCUAGGGGAUAGGGGGCCGAUUGGAACGGAGCCAAAGGGUAAAUAAAUCAUAAAAAGCACUUUUGUCUACCUGUUUUUGGAGUAAUUUUUAUUGUCAUGUUGAAGAAUUUGUCGUUCAUCCAUUCUGAUCCCAUGGUGCUUUGCAAGGAUGUAUACAGUGCAACCAACAUUUGGUUAGUCAUGAAUAUUCAUUUAAUUUUCACUAAAUUCCACUUUUUGUACAUUGAUCUGCUUUCCAUGUAAACUGGUGUGUAAUGGACAUGUACAGCCCAUUCAAUACUAUAAGCUGUUGUAACAAAUAAAAUGUUGAUUUUUUUAAUAAAAUGAGUGAACUUUUAUCUUGAA
This is a long non-coding RNA of Esox lucius (northern pike), 2033 nucleotides long. RefSeq lists it as uncharacterized. The record is from RefSeq and is a predicted model, not a curated record. Lineage: Eukaryota; Metazoa; Chordata; Actinopteri; Esociformes; Esocidae. The transcript is spliced from 2 exons.